UACAGAGGGGGCAAACGUUGUUCGGAAUUACUGGGCGUAAAGCGCGUGUAGGCGGCUUGGCAAGUCGGGUGUGAAAGCCCUGGGCUCAACCUAGGAAGUGCACUCGAAACUGCCUCGCUUGAAUGCCGGAGAGGAAAGCGGAAUUCUCGGUGUAGAGGUGAAAUUCGUAGAUAUCGAGAGGAACACCGGUGGCGAAGGCGGCUUUCUGGACGGUGAUUGACGCUGAGACGCGAAAGCGUGGGGAGCAAACAGG
RNAcentral lists this ribosomal RNA (253 nucleotides) under uncultured bacterium. RNAcentral describes it as "partial 16S ribosomal RNA". It matches the Rfam family "Bacterial small subunit ribosomal RNA", at positions 524 to 776 of the family's 1533-position model. The record is from RNAcentral.